UCACUGGGCUUUUUAGCUCACCCCUCUCCCCUAACCCCAGUGUUGCAGGUUUGAGGUUGAUCGGGAAGUCUCAAGAGUAAAGGUUAUGCAUGUUGUAAUAGCUUAGAUUAUGUUUAUGUUUAGUAUGUUAGAGUGGACAUGUAUUAUAAAUUCAUGUAAGAUAAUGUAAUGUUAAGCAAAGUUGUGUCUAUGGAUUCGUUGUGCUUGGCCCUAAAGACUGGUUAGUC
RNAcentral lists this long non-coding RNA (227 nucleotides) under Manihot esculenta (cassava). Its description in RNAcentral is "long non-coding RNA (MESC_LNC003298)". Lineage: Eukaryota; Viridiplantae; Streptophyta; Magnoliopsida; Malpighiales; Euphorbiaceae. The record is from RNAcentral.